This 1314-nucleotide ribosomal RNA is filed under the name Vibrio ponticus. RNAcentral's name for it is "bacterial SSU rRNA". It matches the Rfam family "Bacterial small subunit ribosomal RNA", at positions 64 to 1359 of the family's 1533-position model. Lineage: Bacteria; Pseudomonadati; Pseudomonadota; Gammaproteobacteria; Vibrionales; Vibrionaceae. The record is from RNAcentral.
GAGCGGAACGAGUUAACUGAACCUUCGGGGAACGUUAACGGCGUCGAGCGGCGGACGGGUGAGUAAUGCCUGGGAAAUUGCCCUGAUGUGGGGGAUAACCAUUGGAAACGAUGGCUAAUACCGCAUAAUAGCUUCGGCUCAAAGAGGGGGACCUUCGGGCCUCUCGCGUCAGGAUAUGCCCAGGUGGGAUUAGCUAGUUGGUGAGGUAAUGGCUCACCAAGGCGACGAUCCCUAGCUGGUCUGAGAGGAUGAUCAGCCACACUGGAACUGAGACACGGUCCAGACUCCUACGGGAGGCAGCAGUGGGGAAUAUUGCACAAUGGGCGCAAGCCUGAUGCAGCCAUGCCGCGUGUGUGAAGAAGGCCUUCGGGUUGUAAAGCACUUUCAGUCGUGAGGAAGGUAGUGUAGUUAAUAGCUGCAUUAUUUGACGUUAGCGACAGAAGAAGCACCGGCUAACUCCGUGCCAGCAGCCGCGGUAAUACGGAGGGUGCGAGCGUUAAUCGGAAUUACUGGGCGUAAAGCGCAUGCAGGUGGUUAGUUAAGUCAGAUGUGAAAGCCCGGGGCUCAACCUCGGAACUGCAUUUGAAACUGGCUGACUAGAGUACUGUAGAGGGGGGUAGAAUUUCAGGUGUAGCGGUGAAAUGCGUAGAGAUCUGAAGGAAUACCGGUGGCGAAGGCGGCCCCCUGGACAGAUACUGACACUCAGAUGCGAAAGCGUGGGGAGCAAACAGGAUUAGAUACCCUGGUAGUCCACGCCGUAAACGAUGUCUACUUGGAGGUUGUGGCCUUGAGCCGUGGCUUUCGGAGCUAACGCGUUAAGUAGACCGCCUGGGGAGUACGGUCGCAAGAUUAAAACUCAAAUGAAUUGACGGGGGCCCGCACAAGCGGUGGAGCAUGUGGUUUAAUUCGAUGCAACGCGAAGAACCUUACCUACUCUUGACAUCCAGAGAACUUAGCAGAGAUGCUUUGGUGCCUUCGGGAACUCUGAGACAGGUGCUGCAUGGCUGUCGUCAGCUCGUGUUGUGAAAUGUUGGGUUAAGUCCCGCAACGAGCGCAACCCUUAUCCUUGUUUGCCAGCACUUCGGGUGGGAACUCCAGGGAGACUGCCGGUGAUAAACCGGAGGAAGGUGGGGACGACGUCAAGUCAUCAUGGCCCUUACGAGUAGGGCUACACACGUGCUACAAUGGCGCAUACAGAGGGCAGCCAACUUGCGAAAGUGAGCGAAUCCCAAAAAGUGCGUCGUAGUCCGGAUUGGAGUCUGCAACUCGACUCCAUGAAGUCGGAAUCGCUAGUAAUCGUGGAUCAGAAUGCCA